This 253-nucleotide ribosomal RNA is filed under the name uncultured bacterium. RNAcentral describes it as "partial 16S ribosomal RNA". It matches the Rfam family "Bacterial small subunit ribosomal RNA", at positions 524 to 776 of the family's 1533-position model. The record is from RNAcentral.
UACGUAGGGUGCAAGCGUUGUCCGGAAUUACUGGGCUUAAAGGGUUUGUAGGCGGCCAUGUAAGUCAGGUGUGAAAUCCCUCGGCUCAACCGAGGAACGGCGCUUGAUACUGCAUGGCUUGAGGGAGACAGGGGUAAGCGGAACUGAUGGUGGAGCGGUGAAAUGCGUUGAUAUCAGCAGGAACACCGGUGGCGAAAGCGGCUUACUGGGUCUCUUCUGACGCUGAGGAACGAAAGCUAGGGUAGCGAACGGG